This is a long non-coding RNA of Felis catus (domestic cat), 707 nucleotides long. RefSeq lists it as uncharacterized. The record is from RefSeq and is a predicted model, not a curated record. The transcript has 3 exons. Lineage: Eukaryota; Metazoa; Chordata; Mammalia; Carnivora; Felidae.
CGCUUGGCUCCUCUGUGAAGUCGGCAGAAAGGACGGCUCACCGAGGGGGACAGAUGGUCAGUGAAAGCAAGAGUCAGACCGUCAAGCUCAUCGCCCAAGCCUUGCCCCCGCCUGGAUCCCGAGCCGUUACGGGAGAACUGUCACACAGAAGAUUCCAGAGGUGACUUGAAAUCUUCGGUUCCUUGCAAUGGGUAGCACAGAUGGCUGUUUAAGGAACCACAUGAAAGAGCCACCGUGAAAGGAUGGAAUGCACAGAAUUCAAAUGUGGGAAUACGAUGCAACCGAAAAUGUCUUAAGACACCAGGAAAAUAUUACACUGUGAUUGUUAAGUGGAAAGAGCAAAGUUUCAGAAGAAUAAAUGACGUAAAAUUUAUGUAAAAUUAUUAACAUAAUGUAUGUUUUUUUAACAUAAUGUAUGUAUGUUUUUAUGUAUGUUUACAUAAAAUGUAUGUAAAAUUAUUAACAUAAUGUAUCACACGGUCAGUACUUAAAGUAUGUAAGUCAUUAUCACUCUUACCUCUCCUUGGAGCCCAGAUCCAAAACCAUUCCCCUUAUCUGAUUGUCCAGACGGAGAUAAUCCCUCCUUACAGCUCCGUAUAGCCAGCCCGACUUUAGCAUGUACGACUAUAUACCUUGGAUUAUUUUCAUUUAUGGUAUGUUUUAAAUGUCACCUGAUAAUAAAUAUUCCUCCUUCUCGUUUUGCUUCA